CGACCUCGAGUGGAGGGA
This 18-nucleotide microRNA is filed under the name Penaeus japonicus. Its description in RNAcentral is "miR-S5". Lineage: Eukaryota; Metazoa; Arthropoda; Malacostraca; Decapoda; Penaeidae. The record is from RNAcentral.